RNAcentral lists this long non-coding RNA (341 nucleotides) under Trifolium pratense (red clover). RNAcentral's name for it is "long non-coding RNA (TPRA_LNC008116)". The record is from RNAcentral. Lineage: Eukaryota; Viridiplantae; Streptophyta; Magnoliopsida; Fabales; Fabaceae.
UCACAGUACUAUCAUAUAUUUUCCAUCUGGGACAUUAUAUUUUUUCCAUCGGAUCAUUCUAUUUUAUAGAAUUUAAAACAAAGUAGGCUUUCUAUUUUCAUUCCAUUAAGGGUCACAGUAUCAUCAUCCUCCUAUUUGUCGAACCGUAUAGGUUCAAAUACCAUAUAUAUACCAUCAGGGACAUUCUAUUUUUUCCAUCAGGGUCAUUCUAUUUUUUCCAUCAGGGUCAUUCUAUUUUUUCCAUCGGGUCAUUCUAAUUCAUAGAAUUUAAAACAAAGUAUGUUUUCUAUUUUCAUUUGAUUAUGUGUCAGAGUACCAUCAUCCUACCAUUUAUCGAACCG